RNAcentral lists this ribosomal RNA (229 nucleotides) under uncultured bacterium. RNAcentral describes it as "partial 16S ribosomal RNA". It matches the Rfam family "Bacterial small subunit ribosomal RNA", at positions 568 to 796 of the family's 1533-position model. The record is from RNAcentral.
UGCGCAGGCGGAACUUUAAGUCAGUGGUGAAAUCUUGCCGCUUAACGGUAAAAUUGCCAUUGAUACUGAAGUUCUUGAAUAUGGUUGAGGUAGGCGGAAUGUGUUGUGUAGCGGUGAAAUGCAUAGAUAUGACACAGAACGCCGAUUGCGAAGGCAGCUUACUAAGCCAUUAUUGACGCUGAGGCACGAAAGCGUGGGGAGCGAACAGGAUUAGAUACCCUGGUAGUCC